UAUUCAGAGAGUUAAGAUAGCAG
This 23-nucleotide non-coding RNA is filed under the name Cricetulus griseus (Chinese hamster). Lineage: Eukaryota; Metazoa; Chordata; Mammalia; Rodentia; Cricetidae. The record is from RNAcentral.